AUGAAGUCUUAAAAUAUUAUUUCUCUCUUUUUUGAUCAUCCAUUUUUUUUACAAUGAAAUAUUAUAAAACAAUUGAAAAUUUGUGAAAUAAAAAAUGAUUGCUAAGUGUUAUAUGUGGCCUCUUUACAAAGUAUGCUUAAAGAGACAAACAUAACACUUUAAUGCACUUAAAGAGAAAUACACAACACUUUAAUGUAUUUAAAAGUCAAACACAAUACAUUUAAACCUAUAAGUGUAAAACUAUUUAAUGUAUGUAAAAGAUGAUAAAGUUUAUACAUUAUAAAGUGAUAAAACCAUCUAAUAUUUCUUACAUCUAAAGGGGAGAAAAUAUGGUUGAAGUUAUCAAGUUUAUUAAUGUUAUUAUCAUAUUUCUUUCCUUGAUUCUUGUUGCAAUGAAUGUUGAAGGGGAUAUGGAUUGUUCCAAGACAUUUGAUUGUCCAAAAGAUAUGUGUUUGUAUCCCCUAAGAGUAAAGUGUUAUUUUGUGGAAAAGCUGGGUGGUAUUCUUAAAGGAAGAUGUGGAUGUGUUUGAGAGAUUUUCACAUAAGCUCUUUCUAAAAUUAUCCAUGAGCUGUCAUUCUGCUUUUCUGUUGGUACUCAAUAAUUUGUUUUUUUUUUUUUUUUUUUUUUACUUUUUAAGUACCUUGUAGUUAUGGAUCUAAGAUGAUGAUAAUGAAAUUGAAUAAAAGAGAAUAAUAUUAUUUAGAUUUUUAUAAA
Molecule: long non-coding RNA, 715 nt
Organism: Vicia villosa (hairy vetch)
Lineage: Eukaryota; Viridiplantae; Streptophyta; Magnoliopsida; Fabales; Fabaceae
Exons: 2
Source: RefSeq, a predicted model, not a curated record